RNAcentral lists this non-coding RNA (112 nucleotides) under Alkalibacter saccharofermentans. RNAcentral's name for it is "TPP sequence". It matches the Rfam family "TPP riboswitch aptamer (THI element)". From Rfam's summary of the family: Vitamin B(1) in its active form thiamin pyrophosphate (TPP) is an essential coenzyme that is synthesised by coupling of pyrimidine and thiazole moieties in bacteria. The previously detected thiamin-regulatory element, thi box was extended, resulting in a new, highly conserved RNA secondary structure, the THI element, which is widely distributed in eubacteria and also occurs in some archaea. RNAcentral also lists the same sequence under 1 other name. Lineage: Bacteria; Bacillati; Bacillota; Clostridia; Eubacteriales; Eubacteriaceae. The record is from RNAcentral.
UCAUACAUAAUGGGGAGCUUGCGCAUGCAGGCUGAGAGGAGACUAAAUGCUGUCUCGACCCUAAAAACCUGAUUUGGAUAAUGCCAACGUGGGACUCAUAGCUUGCUGUUUA